Molecule: ribosomal RNA, 540 nt
Filed under: uncultured Acidobacteriota bacterium
Lineage: Bacteria; Pseudomonadati; Acidobacteriota
Description: bacterial SSU rRNA
Rfam family: Bacterial small subunit ribosomal RNA
Source: RNAcentral
UUGAUCCUGGCUCAGAAUCAACGCUGGCGGCGUGCCUCAGACAUGCAAGUCGAACGAGAAAGUCCCCUUCGGGGGAUAAGUAAAGUGGCGCACGGGUGAUUAACACGUAGGUAGUCUACCUUCGGGUGGGGAAUAACCCAGGGAAACUUUGGCUAACACCGCAUAAUGCAGCGGCACCACAUGGUGACAGUUGUUAAAGUGGGGGAUUUUAGGACCUCGCGCCUGAAGAGGAGCCUGCGGCGGAUUAGCUAGUUGGUAAGGUAACGGCUUACCAAGGUAACGAUCCGUAGCCGGCCUGAUAGGGCGGUCGGCCACACUGACACUGACAUACGGGUCAGACUCCUACGGGUGGCAGCAGUCGGGAAUUUUGGGCAAUGGGCGAAGGCCUGACCCAGCAACUCCGCGUGAAGGAUGAAACCCCUCGGGAUGUAAACUUCGCAAGAAUAGGAUGAAUUAGUAGGGGUUAAUACCCCCUAUGAUGACGGUACUAUUUGUAAGCUCCGGCUAACUCCGUGCCAGCAGCCGCGGUAAUAAGGGCGU